UCCCCACACUUGGUUACCUAGCGGUUGAUUGGGUUUCCAGCCCCAGGGAGCAGGCCUGGUUUUGGGAUUGGGUUCAGAACUGACUUCUUCCGCGACCCUCAGUGUGUACCUCGGUGUGUAUCUGUGGACCUCUGUGUAUCUUAGCACUGGUGUCUUGCUGAGUCUCCUCACACUGAAUGUACGCCCCGAUGCUUGCUGAUACUGACGGCAGCUCACAUGGCACGCGGCCAGGAAUAACAGAGAAGGAACGUGACCUCAGCGAAGGCCCACAGUGUCAGUUAGGAGGGACACAGAAACGGAAGAAUCCAGGUGACAGCCCCUGCUGUCUCCUCACCCCUCACACCCGUCCUGCCCUUUGAGUGACACGCCUGAUUUCCAAUUCCAUGUCAGGCCUGCUCAGUGGGCCUUCUGCGUGGUCACUGUUAGCUUUUUAUCCUGACAAAGGUUCUGUGUCCGAAGCUUCACCAACUUCAAGAUGGAAACUGCACCAGUACUGAAUAUGAACAUACUUUUUUCUUGUCACGAUUCCAUAAAUAAUACAGUAAAACAA
Long non-coding RNA from Mesocricetus auratus (golden hamster), 550 nucleotides. RefSeq lists it as uncharacterized. NCBI's taxonomy places the organism in Eukaryota, Metazoa, Chordata, Mammalia, Rodentia, Cricetidae. The transcript has 2 exons. The record is from RefSeq and is a predicted model, not a curated record.